This 1587-nucleotide ribosomal RNA is filed under the name Eudromia elegans (elegant crested-tinamou). RNAcentral's name for it is "16S ribosomal RNA". It matches the Rfam family "Bacterial large subunit ribosomal RNA". The record is from RNAcentral. Lineage: Eukaryota; Metazoa; Chordata; Aves; Tinamiformes; Tinamidae.
AUGCUAACUCUAGCUCAUACUCCUUCAUUUCCACCAAACCUCCUUCACCUAAAAACUAAAGCAUUCUGCAUACUUAGUAUUGGCGAUAGAAAAGUCAACCCGACGCAAUAGAGAUUCCUGUACCGUAAGGGAAAGUUGAAAUAAUAAUGAAAAUUUAAGCAAAGAACAGCAAAGACUAACCCUUGUACCUUUUGCAUCAUGAUUUAGCAAGAAUAACCAAGCACAAUGAACUUUAGCUUGACACCCCGAAACCCAUGCGAGCUACUUGCGAGCAGCUAUUAUUGAGCGAACCCGUCUCUGUUGCAAAAGAGUGGGACGACUCGCUAGUAGAGGUGAAAAGCCAAACGAGCUGGGUGAUAGCUGGUUGCCUGUGAAACGAAUCUUAGUUCACCCCUAAACCUUUCCCCCAGGACCACAUAACUAACCCUAAUGAAACAUUUAGGAGUAAUUUAAAGGAGGAACAGCUCCUUUAAACCAGGCUACAACCUACACUAGAGGGUAAUACACUCCUUCACUUACAUUAUGUGGGCCUUCAAGCAGCCAUCAAUCAAGAGUGCGUCACAGCUCGCCCAAUAAAAAUAACUACACUCUAUGAACCCCUUACCACCAACAGGCUAACCUAUAAUUAUAGGAGAAUUAAUGCUAAAAUAAGUAAUUUGAAGGAAAAUCCUUCUCUCAGGCGCAAGCUUACACACUAAUUAUUAACAGUCUCAACUUAUAUUACCUCAACAAGACCAUAUAUUUCACCAACCUGUUACCCCAACCCAGGAGCGCCAAGCCAGAGAGAUUCAAACCUGCAAAAGGAACUAGGCAAACCUGAGGCCCGACUGUUUACCAAAAACAUAGCCUUCAGCUCAAACAAGUAUUGAAGGUGAUGCCUGCCCAGUGACUGAUGUUUAACGGCCGCGGUAUCCUAACCGUGCGAAGGUAGCGCAAUCAAUUGUCUCAUAAAUCGAGACUUGUAUGAAUGGCUAAACGAGGUCUUAACUGUCUCUUGCAGGCAAUCAAUGAAAUUGAUCUUCCUGUGCAAAAGCAGGAAUAAAUCCAUAAGACGAGAAGACCCUGUGGAACUUAAAAAUCAAGGACCAAUGCAACUCCCCUCCAACCUACUAGGCCUAUUCCAUCGCACACACUUCAUGGUCCAAAUUUUUCGGUUGGGGCGACCUUGGAGAACAAACAAACCUCCAAAAUACAAGGCCACACUCCUUUACUUAGAGCAUUCCUCUCAAAGUACUAACAGUGAUUAGACCCAAUACAAUUGAUUAAUGAACCAAGCUACCCCAGGGAUAACAGCGCUAUCUCCUUCAAGAGCCCCUAUCGACAAGGAGGUUUACGACCUCGAUGUUGGAUCAGGACAUCCUAAUGGUGCAGCCGCUAUUAAGGGUUCGUUUGUUCAACGAUUAACAGUCCUACGUGAUCUGAGUUCAGACCGGAGCAAUCCAGGUCGGUUUCUAUCUAUGUAAUACUGCCUCUAGUACGAAAGGACCGAAGCAGUGGGGCCAAUAUCUCCCAUACGCCCCCUCUCUAAUUAGUGCAACCAACUCAACUAACAAGAAAACACACUAUUAAUAUCCUAGAGAAGGAUAG